This 667-nucleotide ribosomal RNA is filed under the name uncultured archaeon. RNAcentral's name for it is "partial 16S ribosomal RNA". The stretch from base 128 to 667 matches the Rfam family "Bacterial small subunit ribosomal RNA", at positions 1 to 551 of the family's 1533-position model. The record is from RNAcentral.
UUCCGGUUGAUCCUGCCGGACGGUUUCUUGGACGAACCUUUCGUCAAAUACGGCUAAUCAACCACGGCGAUUCGACAAGCUGAAGGCUUCGGCCUUCAGCAGACGAUCGGCGCGGAAUGCCUACUUUUAAUUGAAGGGUUUGAUCCUGGCUCAGAAUGAACGUUGGCGGCGUGGAUUAGGCAUGCAAGUCGAGCGGAAAGGCCCCUUCGGGGGUACUCGAGCGGCGUAAGGGAGAGUAACGCGUGGACAACCUACCCCCGGAUCCGGGAUAGCCGUGGGAAACUGCGGGUAAUACCGGAUAAUGUCUCCGGACCAAAGGUGAGAUUCCGUCUGGGGAUGGGUCCGCGUCCUAUUAGCUUGUUGGUGGGGUAACGGCCUACCAAGGCUUCGAUGGGUACUGGGUGUGAGAGCAUGACCCGGCUCACUGGGACUGAGACACUGCCCAGACACCUACGGGUGGCUGCAGUCGAGAAUCUUCGGCAAUGGGCGAAAGCCUGACCGAGCGACGCCGCGUGCGGGAUGAAGGCCUUCGGGUUGUAAACCGCUGUCAGUUGGGAGGAAAUCGCAUGGGGUUAUCCCUGUGUGUUGACCUAUCUUCAGAGGAAGUACGGGCUAAGUUCGUGCCAGCAGCCGCGGUAAUACGAAACGUACAAACGUUAUUCGGAAU